Molecule: transfer RNA, 69 nt
Filed under: Pimephales promelas (fathead minnow)
Lineage: Eukaryota; Metazoa; Chordata; Actinopteri; Cypriniformes; Leuciscidae
Description: tRNA-Pro
Rfam family: tRNA
About the family: Transfer RNA (tRNA) molecules are approximately 80 nucleotides in length. Their secondary structure includes four short double-helical elements and three loops (D, anti-codon, and T loops). Further hydrogen bonds mediate the characteristic L-shaped molecular structure. tRNAs have two regions of fundamental functional importance: the anti-codon, which is responsible for specific mRNA codon recognition, and the 3' end, to which the tRNAs corresponding amino acid is attached (by aminoacyl-tRNA synthetases). tRNAs cope with the degeneracy of the genetic code in two manners: having more than one tRNA (with a specific anti-codon) for a particular amino acid; and 'wobble' base-pairing, i.e. permitting non-standard base-pairing at the 3rd anti-codon position.
Source: RNAcentral
AGAAAAUAGUUUAGUUUAGAAUUCUGGCUUUGGGAGCCAGGGGUGGGAGUUAAAAUCUCCUUUUUCUGG